Numida meleagris (helmeted guineafowl) is the source of this 1708-nucleotide long non-coding RNA. NCBI's taxonomy places the organism in Eukaryota, Metazoa, Chordata, Aves, Galliformes, Numididae. The record is from Ensembl.
AAACUAAAUUUUUUGAAAACUUAAGAGAAAUGGAAGGUUUGAUACUGUUUAUUUCUUUCUUCAGAACGCACACUGAAGCUGCUCCUUUGGCAAAUGUCCACGCCAUCACCCUGGGUCUUGGAGCAUGCUGUUUCUCCGUUCUCUGUGCUGUGCAGGUAGGGUGGUCAAGCAAUUCUGGACUUGCAAUCCGCAUGCAGUAGGGGAGCAGGAGCAGAUCCUGACUGUUUCUUUUCUUUCAGCUGCGGAUAAAGCCUGCUCUCUAGUGGAUUGACUCCACUAGAAAGUGGAGGAAAGAAAGUGUAAUCUGUGUAUUGAUUUGCAGAAUGCAAAGAUGGGCUUUCCAGUAAUCCUGUGUUCUGGUCUACCUCCGCCUCUUGAGGACCAUCCAGAUGGCAAAGCCUAGCAGGCACUGAGCACUUUCUGAAGUCUUACUCCCACCCUGGCCCCCAGCUCCACAGGGCAGCUCAGAGAUUUUGGCUGUUCUGGAGUCCUGGGCUGUGUGCUGGGCACUGAUUAGAGGUAGGUAUCGGUCCACGUUUGCACACAAAAAGACAGUUUUCCACUGAUUACUCUGUUAAGGAGUCUCAGGAGUGUAGUUCGUUCUAGCAGAAAUGUUACACAUAAUAGACUGGUCCUUUGGCUAUUCUAGUUAUGAAUGGCUCCUCUCAAGUUCAUGGAGUCUGUCUGAUAAAAAACAGAUGAGGAUCUGGUCCACCGUCCUCAUAGAAACAUACCCCUGAUUAGAGCCAGGCGUAUCACUCAUGCUAAAAUAUUUGUUUGACACUUGCAAUUUGCUUGUUACAGAGUUUGAAGUCUCCUCCUGGCAAAUUUCCAAAUGGUGGUAGCAAGGCUGCCUCUAACAGGGUCCAGUUCAAAGCCGGGAACAUCACCAUAACCUUUUCUAUUGACUCACAAGGUUCUGGAAGGGCUUCCAGGCCCCUUGCUCAUGGCAGGGGUCAUGUCCACACUAAACGCUCUGUGGAACUACAGAAAACCUCGAAGUUGUGCUGCUGACAACAGCUACCACGGUCACUGCGGGGAGCCAGGAAUUCAAGGAGCAAAGUCCAUGUAAUCUGCUUGUAUCUGGCUCAACACAAUUUCCAGUUGCUUUAUGCAAAACCAGUCAUUGUUUGCAAUUCAUCAACUACAAAAACAGGAUGGAGAGGCACAGGCAGAAUGAAACGGUUUCCAUCUGCAUGAAAAGGUUGAUUUUUGACAGAUUUCUCCUUUGGACACUAUUUAAAGGAGAGCAGUGGAUACUCCCUGCGUUCCUGCAUACUACAUUUGCACGCUGUCUGCUUCCAAAAGAAUCAAGCUGAAAACAGUAAAAGGAGCUUCUGUCCUGCAGCCUUUUGGCACGGGGAUCCCAUCUGGGCAGCAGGAUUUGGAGCAGCCCACAGGUUUCCUUCUGUCUGCCCUCGGUGGAAGGCACAGAGAGGGAUAUCACAGCACCAGGGUGUGAGGAUGCACCAAGGGAACUCUGUGAUGUGGGUUCACACACAACGAACUAUUGUGCGCUGCAUAAGAUAAUUACAAAUAAUCGGAACUGGCCUAACUGUGGAACCACUUGCUGCAGAAGGCAGGUUGGAAAAUCCAUGGAUUCUAAAGGUCAGAGAAGACUGUGGGACCAUCCUUACUGAUUUUCAAGAUAAAGACAGUUUCAUGAAGUAACACUAACAGUAAUAACCAAAAACAUGUUUUUGGAAAG